GUAGGUGGCAAGCGUUGUCCGGAAUUAUUGGGCGUAAAGCGCGCGCAGGUGGUUCUUUAAGUCUGAUGUGAAAGCCCCCGGCUCAACCGGGGAGGGUCAUUGGAAACUGGGGAACUUGAGUGCAGGAGAGGAAAGUGGAAUUCCACGUGUAGCGGUGAAAUGCGUAGAUAUGUGGAGGAACACCAGUAGCGAAGGCGACUUUCUGGUCUGUAACUGACACUGAGGCGCGAAAGCGUGGGGAGCAAACAGGGAUUAGAUACCCUGGUAGUCCACGCCGUAAACGAUGAGUGCUAAGUGUUGGGGGGGUUUCCCGCCCCUCAGUGCUGCAGCUAACGCAUUAAGCACUCCGCCUGGGGAUACGGUCGCAAGACUG
This 373-nucleotide ribosomal RNA is filed under the name uncultured organism. RNAcentral describes it as "partial 16S ribosomal RNA". It matches the Rfam family "Bacterial small subunit ribosomal RNA", at positions 527 to 896 of the family's 1533-position model. The record is from RNAcentral.